CAGAGGUCCCAAGCGUUGUUCGGAUUUACUGGGCGUAAAGGGUGCGUAGGCGGUUGUUUAAGUCUGACGUGAAAUCUCCGGGCUAACCCGGAAACUGCGUUGGAUACUAUUCAACUAGAGGAAUGGAGGGGAGACUGGAAUACUUGGUGUAGCAGUGAAAUGCGUAGAUAUCAAGUGGAACACCAGUGGCGAAGGCGAGUCUCUGGACAUUUCCUGACGCUGAGGCACGAAAGCCAGGGGAGCAAACGGGAUUAGAUACCCCGGUAGUCCUGGCCCUAAACGGUGCGCGUUUGCUGUAAGUGGAAUCGACCCCACUUGUGGCGUAGUUAACACGUUAAACGCGCCGCCUGGGAAGUACGGCCGCAAGGUUA
RNAcentral lists this ribosomal RNA (371 nucleotides) under uncultured organism. Its description in RNAcentral is "bacterial SSU rRNA". It matches the Rfam family "Bacterial small subunit ribosomal RNA", at positions 526 to 896 of the family's 1533-position model. The record is from RNAcentral.